This 1224-nucleotide long non-coding RNA is filed under the name Hordeum vulgare. Its description in RNAcentral is "long non-coding RNA (HVUL_LNC018036)". The record is from RNAcentral. Lineage: Eukaryota; Viridiplantae; Streptophyta; Magnoliopsida; Poales; Poaceae.
UUGUAACUCCAGUGACUCAGCGGGAUAUACGAUGCUGUUUCACUCCCCCAUCAUGUGAUUGGCAGCUCGCAGGAGCCAUCUAACUUCUUGUAAGAUGAUGAAGGUAUUCCAGUACUCCGGGUUCCUCUUUUUUCGCGUCUUGGUGGAAGCCAUUCGGUACCAUAGAAGACGCUGAAGCUAUCGUUGUGCUUGUUCUUUUUUUCGGUUGUUCCUAUAGUUGAUCUUAUGUGCGCGUUUCUGUACGGGUAGCCGGGUUACUUGUGAGUCUGUGAUGGUUUUCUCUUGUGCAAAGCCGUCGUUUAAUUACAUUGUUGUGCAGAUAGUUUAUUCCCAAAUCAGUCAUGCUUUUGUAUGUAUCCAAUUAUUUAUGUAACUGAAUCUUUGUGCAUGACUAUGACACUCAAACCCAUAUUUGCCUACCACUGUAUAGUUUCUGUCUGAUUAAUCACAUAUCAAUUAGCUUUGAUGAUAUUCAAUAUGUGCCCAUUGUUGAGAUGUAUGUAAUCUUGAUGAGAAUUCAGGUCUAGCCUGUUACAUGUUUUAGAAAUACAGUAGAAAACAUGAAAGAAAUUGGGGGAAAAAUAAUCCGGGUGUCGGGUUCCUUUCACAUAAUUCAACGAACAUCCUAUUAUGCAAUCUUUGUUUUUUCCUUGCUAUGUAGUAUAUGAGAGGGAAAGUAGUGGCUGUAGAAAAACUGUACUGUUGAUAUGAGAUAUUAUUGGCGCAUAAUACAAUCAAAUUUUUUGUAUUAAUCAGCAAUGUACAUAAAUAUAACGAUGUUUUAAUGGCAAUUAUUUUUCUAUUCAUAUUAGGAUAAAAAAUAUGCAAACACGUAAUAGCAAUCUACAGCUCUAGAGAGUCAUGUUAAUCCUUUUCAUACAGCAGUAAGUGGGCAUGUACAGGAGUCGAGGGGGAUUUUCUUUCCUAAUUUCUUAUUUUGAGGAAGAGUUGCCGCUCCUUUCAUACUUGAUUGUUUUCUUUUUCAAUUGACAUCAAAUGAACCUGUUUUUUUUCUUUUUAUUAUCGGUGCAGGUUUUAUGUAAGGAAGCUACCUUUUUGUUAUAUAGCUAGCGAACCCAUGGAUGAUUUCCUUCUUCACUUUCACAAACUGUACGUGUGGGUCUUUUUUUCGCCGGGCCAUCUAUAUCGUAGAAGUUUCAGCCGGGAGGAGUCCUGGGAGAGACAUUUUCCCUUUAUUUUGCUUGUUCAUUUUUAUUUUUAAUC